GGUCCCCAACCCAGUCCUCAUGGACCACCAACAGUCCAGGAUUUAUGUAUUUCCCUGUUUUAUUCCAACGGAGAUGCUGACAAAACCUGGACUGUUGGUGGUCUGUGAGGACUGGGUUCGGGAC
This 124-nucleotide microRNA precursor is filed under the name Pelobates cultripes (western spadefoot toad). The record is from RNAcentral. Lineage: Eukaryota; Metazoa; Chordata; Amphibia; Anura; Pelobatidae.